Molecule: long non-coding RNA, 4632 nt
Organism: Numida meleagris (helmeted guineafowl)
Lineage: Eukaryota; Metazoa; Chordata; Aves; Galliformes; Numididae
Exons: 4
Source: RefSeq, a predicted model, not a curated record
GCACUCCAUAAUGGCUUUUACUGAGGAAAUUAAAAACUUGAGGCCUCUGGAAGGCUGAAGGAUGUCUGUAAUCAUUGUUUCACUGGAAUCUUUCAGGAAGGAAAAAGCAGAAAACAACAACAAACCAAACCACUGAAGAUCAGUGCAAGAAGACAGACCUACACAGGAAAUCUGAGAUGGCUACUGAUCCUGCCAGGCAGGCAUUCUCAGAGCGAGAAGUAUGUAUAUAGAGAGGGACACCUGCAACCCAUGGAGGAAUAACCAAGCCUGUUUUGCAGCAAUAUGCAUUUUCCCAAGUGGUCAGAUCAAGAUCACUCUGUGCAAUGCAGAAGAAAACACAUGCCAUCUGUCUGGUCCUCACUGGAGCUCCUCUUGUCUGCUGAUGACAAACAAGUCUUUGGACAGACCUCUUACAUCCCUCAGGAGCUGUCAGGUAUUUUGAGGCUCUUUGCUUCGGACAUCAGAACAACCUUCCUCAAUUUUGCUGAUGAAAACAGUGCCCUGGGAAGAGUGUCCCUUAUCAUCUGGACAUUUUUUUUUUUAAGUCUUCCUUAUUUUUUGCUUCUCCUGCUUACACUCACAUGUUUUCAUUCGUACUUCCUUCCUACCAAUCUUAGUAUUUCUUGUGAAUUUCUAUAUUGUAAGUAAGCAAAACUCCACUUUUCUGAGAUAAAAACUUUUCCCUACUUAAAACUAGUUUAAGCUUAUGAAAUCAUGUAACACAGUUUUUCAACCUAUGUGACAGAUUCUUGGAUGUCAUCACAGGUAAAUACAAACAGAAGCUACCACAGAGAUAAAGUAAGUGCACGCUAUGGUCAGUGCAUGCAUUGAAUACCAUCAUAAAAACACAGAAAUUAGCAUCCUACAAAAACAUAACUUUCCCAACAGGAAAAAGACUGAUCCAAAUGUUGCAUGAUGACUGUCCAGUAACACUCCUAUUGUUGCUUUCACCUUCCUUUCUCAGUGAUUACAUCCAUUUGUUGGGCCUUGACUUAAAUGAGAUUGGGAAAGGUCUAGGGCCAAGGUCAUGUUAUUCUACACAUUUGAAAAAUGCAUGGCACAGUGUUGCUUUGCUUUUGACAGGUUUCCCAACAAUCGCUGUAAUAAGAGGAAUAAAAUAACAUCAAUAAUAACAUCUGACAUAACAGAAUUGCAACAUAUAUAUACCAUGAUGCAUGUUUAUUGCUUCAAUUCAUUGAAGUCUGGUCAACAUGUGCUUCUGCAGAUUUUAUCUUUAAAAAUACUAAAACUUAAAUUUUGGCAACAAUAGCAAAUAAUUUUCAUAAUGUUCAUCAUUUUAUUGUUAUAUUCUAAGAAUUCUACAUAGACAUCUAAAUAUAUAUUUUAUGUAGUUCCUUAUUCUUUUAUUGAUUACUCAGGGCCAGGGGAUUGAUCAUAAACUUCCUUCAGCUUGCUAGGCGAGAGAAUUUCUCUGUGAUAAUCUGUUCAGUUUCCAUACUUUGGUACAUUUCUAUAUGUGACACUGGUUCAGAUUCUCAGUUGCAUUAUCAGUUCAUGCAUGUUAGAAACAGGUCCCAAGUCUUGUGCAAUGGGACCUAAAUGUAACAGAACCCCAAAACUUUUAUGUUAAUAUAGUGUUAGAUUUCAGUCCAUAUGAAGUCACAGUUGAGAACACUGCACUGAGAAAACAGCUUGAAAGAUUUCAUAAAUAUCCCAUGCAUGAAGGAAAUAAAUUAAGAGCUAUGCUUCCAGCCUACUGAGAGUAAAAGAAAACUAUUAAAUUAUUUUACACAAUGAAUAUUGCUUUAGCUGCACAGAUAUGUAAUCAGCAAAUACAGGAAUGGCUUCACACUGGCUCUGCUCACAUUCCAAUUUUUUUUUUUUUUAGGAAAAGCUAAAUAUGUAUUACCAUAACACAGUAGCUGUACUCUUGCAGCAUACAAUUGACUUUCAUAGAUCUUCCAAUGUUUUGUUUUGUCUGAUUCUAAAGGAUUAUUCUGUUAAUCCCUAGGUUCUUAGAUUGUCAUUCAAUCAAAAGCAAUUGAAAGUUCCGUGGUAUUUUAUUUUUCCUUCUUAAUUAAGCUCAGUAGGAUAGAAGUCACUUCUGCUGAACAUAAGUGAUCUAAGACUCUGAUGUGCAUUUGUAAAAAUACUGCAGAACCUGAGAUCACUUAAAUCAUUUGAACUUGCCAGAGCCAAGGUAUAUCCAAGUACAGGGACAAGUAGGAAAAUAAAUCACAAAAUUUAAAAGUUUCUUGAAAAACUACGUGUUGUAGGGUGGUGUAACAAAUAUUGAAAUGGAGAAAGUCAGCACAAAGGUGUCUAAAUCCCUUCCAGGUGUUUUUUGCUGCUCAGCUGGUGCAUAAGAUCUGGAAAACAUUCUGAACAAAACACCUUCCAAACCCCACCAUCUUCAGCCUGCAAGCUGUUUUCUGCUCCAAACUGGCCACACAAUUUUAUGGACAUAACUGAAAACUCAAGUAAGUCCAUGUUUCCCACCUCUAUUUGCCACUCCUGAUUACUCUGACACCUCAGAGUUCAUUUUAAAAUGUUCAGUGUUUUUUGAUCAACCACACACCUUUUACUAUCUAUGAGCAGUACUUCCGCAUGUUUGGGGGCUGUUCAUUACUUCUUUGAGACUGACAGAUUAUCAGCAACCUUGUAGCAUGCCCUGAAACACCAGCCCUCCAGAAUGAUUCACAGAUGCUGUAAAAGUUUUUGCCACUCUACAGAUUUGCUUCAGACAGCUUCAAAUGCACAUGAACUGAAAGGAAUACAUGUAAUUUAUGGGUCUUACGUAGACUAAUGGAGAAGCGUUAGGGAGAAUGUGAGUAAUUUUUCUAAUAGAAAUAUAACUAAUUCAGGAAGUAUCAAAUUAGCAUUUAGUUAAGCCAUAAUUCUUCUGGUCUAACAGAAAUCUGUUAAUUGUUAUCUCUGUCAUAUAAACGAGUGUGGGAUAAGCAUUCCAGGAACAUUUCAUACCAUUCAGAUUUUUUCUCUGAACUAAAAUGAACCAGAUAUUACAGAAAUUUUUAAAGUAUUGUUUCAAGAUUGUUUUAAAACAUUUUGUACAUUUGUUCUUCUGGGAUUAGGAAUGGGUUAAAUUCUGCAAGAUAUGAUUCUCAUGGACCAGCUAUAAAUACAUUAAUAUAGUCCUUGACCCCACAAAGAACUUGUAUGUACACUUCAUAUUUUUUAAGUUGAUUAAAUCAGAGUGAUAUCAAAAUACUUUUCUAAUAAAGCAAGUGUGACUUGUGUGAGAGCCCUGAGUUAACCUCUGACCAUUUUGUAAAAGUAAAAGGCAUCAAUUUACUUUUGUGCAUCCUCAUCAAAAAUACCUCAAGCCCUGUUUCAUUCCAUCCAGUCCUAGAAACCAAGAAAGAUAAACUCGGUUACUGGCAAGCCUUUGGCCUUAAGCUUCUCUUGAUGUUCAUCUACUUAACUAUCUAUUUAUUUAUUUGUUACAGUAAGCAUAAUUAUAUUAUGAAGUUAAGAGAAUUGAAGGCAGCUUUUUUUGAUCAAGUAGAAUAUUGUGUAUAGCGGGUCCUGGGAUUGUGAGCAAUAUUGCACUGUGUAACGUCUCUUUUCUUUAUCUUUUUUCUUUUAAUCUUUUUUAAGUUCUGAUGCUUCCUUUAUGUUGUAUUUUUGUCUUAGCAUUGUUUUUGAACAAUGUAUUUCACUGCCAGUGCUGACAAGCAAAUAUUCAGCAACUCUACAAGAAAAAGAAAAAAAAACAAAAACAAAACACAAACCCUUGCUCCUGCUGUCUUUAUCUAUUUUAAUUUAUCUUUUAAUUUAUCUAUUUCCAGUAAAAGAAGUAAAUGAUAAUUGAAGUAUGUGCAAACAGAUAAAGAUCUCCUCUGCCAUAUCCUCGUUCACAAAAUAUAUUCCAUAGCAUUUCUCCAGAACACAAUUUCAGCACUUACUCUCUUAAAGAAAAUCACAUGCUUCUUCAAGGAAAGUCAACAUUUUACCUCAGCACAGUCAAAACGUCUGGACAAUUGUACUUUAUUCAUAGCAAAGCGUGAACUAUUUAAUAGACUUCUUUAUACUCAGUACCCUGGGGCACUCUGACCCUCUGCUGAAGUCCUUGGUCUCAUCUGUUGUAAUUUCAUGUGUCACAGUUGUCUUUACCUUAUUAUGUAUAUAACGUGGUAUGCUACAAGGAAUUUGUACUAUAGGAGCUGAGCCUGAAUAUCUUUCUCCAGUUCUACAUUUUGUUCUAUGUGAAUGCAGCCAAAAUGCAGCAAGUAUAAGUGGCAAGUGGAUGUCUUAUUACUUGUCAGUGCAUCUGGACCUAUGCAGAGACCACUGUAAUAUAAGGCUUUAUUUAAGCUAGGUAAAAUUUGAACUUUUUAAACAUGUAGGAGUAUUAUGAUAUUUGAAAUUCUGUUCCUUGGUCUGCCCAAAAAAGUUUCAAAUCUUCCUUUCUGAGCUAAAUAUUACAGUGCUCUGAGCUAGUGUCUUGAUUUAUUUGGUUGGUUUGUACAGUGGAUAUCUUGAGUGUUAAAUUUCUCUGAAGAAUUACUUUCAAAACUCCAUUAAAGUGAGCAAUUCACAGACCAUUUAAGUGAGAAACAGAAAGGGACUAGGAUUCAGCAUCUGCAAACGCCUUUUCAGCUUAAGUAAGCAUUGCCGUUUGUAUUUAUUACAUGUUUCUCAGUUGUAUCA